RNAcentral lists this ribosomal RNA (393 nucleotides) under uncultured bacterium. Its description in RNAcentral is "partial 16S ribosomal RNA". It matches the Rfam family "Bacterial small subunit ribosomal RNA", at positions 523 to 918 of the family's 1533-position model. The record is from RNAcentral.
AUACGGAGGAUCCGAGCGUUAUCCGGAUUUAUUGGGUUUAAAGGGUGCGCAGGCGGGAGAUUAAGUCGGCGGCGAAAUUUUGCAGCUCAACUGUAAAAGUGCCUUCGAAACUGGUUUCCUUGAGUGUAGAUGAAGUAGGCGGAAUUUGUGGUGUAGCGGUGAAAUGCAUAGAUAUCACGAGGAACUCCGAUUGCGCAGGCAGCUUACUAAACUACUACUGACGCUCAGGCACGAAGGCGUGAGGAUCAAACAGGAUUAGAUACCCUGGUAGUCCACGCAGUAAACGAUGGGCGCUCGUCGUCGGCGACAGACAGUCGGCGGCCAAGCGAAAGCGAUAAGCGCCCCACCUGGGGAGUACGGUCGCAAGGCUGAAACUCAAAGGAAUUGGCGGGG